GCGCUCGUAGCUCAGCUGGAUAGAGCACCAGACUACGAAUCUGGGGGUCAGGGGUUCGAAUCCUCUCGAGCGCG
RNAcentral lists this transfer RNA (74 nucleotides) under SAR116 cluster alpha proteobacterium HIMB100. Lineage: Bacteria; Pseudomonadati; Pseudomonadota; Alphaproteobacteria; Puniceispirillales (SeqCode). The record is from RNAcentral.